GAUGAACGCUAGCUACAGGCUUAACACAUGCAAGUCGAGGGGAAACGACAUCGAAAGCUUGCUUUUGAUGGGCGUCGACCGGCGCACGGGUGAGUAACGCGUAUCCAACCUGCCCAUCACUUGGGAAUAACCUUGCGAAAGUAAGACUAAUACCCAAUGAUAUCCCACGAAGGCAUCGGAAUGGGAUUAAAGAUUUAUCGGUGAUGGAUGGGGAUGCGUCUGAUUAGCUUGUUGGCGGGGUAACGGCCCACCAAGGCAACGAUCAGUAGGGGUUCUGAGAGGAAGGUCCCCCACAUUGGAACUGAGACACGGUCCAAACUCCUACGGGAGGCAGCAGUGAGGAAUAUUGGUCAAUGGGCGAGAGCCUGAACCAGCCAAGUAGCGUGCAGGAAGACGGCCCUAUGGGUUGUAAACUGCUUUUAUAAGGGAAUAAAGUGGGUCACGUGUGACUUUUUGCAUGUACCUUAUGAAUAAGGACCGGCUAAUUCCGCG
RNAcentral lists this ribosomal RNA (492 nucleotides) under uncultured bacterium. RNAcentral's name for it is "partial 16S ribosomal RNA". It matches the Rfam family "Bacterial small subunit ribosomal RNA", at positions 28 to 507 of the family's 1533-position model. The record is from RNAcentral.